Molecule: long non-coding RNA, 579 nt
Organism: Fukomys damarensis (Damara mole-rat)
Lineage: Eukaryota; Metazoa; Chordata; Mammalia; Rodentia; Bathyergidae
Exons: 3
Source: RefSeq, a predicted model, not a curated record
GUGACUUUUGACCUGCAGACUGUUCUCGCAAAAGGCAAACCAGACAUACACUCUGGGGAUUCCUGCAAGAAGGAACACAUAGUCUUUGAAUUUCUUGGCAUCUGUGAUGUGAGUCAUGAAUUUUAUAGAUGCAGAAAUUGGAAGAGGAGUGACUUGCACAAGGCCAGACAGCAAGUCUAAGAAUAACCACGCAACCGCCAGAACUACUUGGCCUGCAGCCCAUCCCUAGGCCACCACUGUACUAGGUGUAAACUUUAGUAGGAGAUCGUGAGGAUGACCCAUUGAGAGGAAAUGUGACCCAAGCCAAGACCACAUAACCCCUGAAAAGGAAAGGCAAUCUUGGCCGUAUGUCUAUCUUGUCCAGCUGAAGGAAGAAAUACAGACUUCCAGUGUGUCCUGCCCCUCCUACCUGCACACAUACUUUGAGGCCUUUUAAGCCCCAAGUUGGAGUUCAGUCAGAGCAGCUUGGAUGGUGGUUCAUCUAUUACUGAAGCAAAGAAAAGAAAAGGAAUUUCUCUUUUCGCAAGAGGCUGGCAUUAACAGAUAUAAUCUUUUUUGUUUGUUUGUUUGUUUUUUGUU